GAUGAACGCUGGCGGCGUGCCUAAUACAUGCAAGUCGAGCGAACAGACGAGGAGCUUGCUCCUCUGACGUUAGCGGCGGACGGGUGAGUAACACGUGGAUAACCUACCUAUAAGACGGGGAUAACUACGGGAAACCGGAGCUAAUACCGGAUAAUAUAUUGAACCGCAUGGAUCAAUAGUGAAAGACGGUUUUGCUGUCACUUAUAGAUGGAUCCGCGCCGCAUUAGCUAGUUGGUAAGGUAACGGCUUACCAAGGCAACGAUGCGUAGCCGACCUGAGAGGGUGAUCGGCCACACUGGAACUGAGACACGGUCCAGACUCCUACGGGAGGCAGCAGUAGGGAAUCUUCCGCAAUGGGCGAAAGCCUGACGGAGCAACGCCGCGUGGGUGAUGAAGGUCUUCGGAUCGUAAAGCUCUGUUAUUAGGGAAGAACAAAUGUGUAAGUAACUAUGCACGUCUUGACGGUACCUAAUCAGAAAGCCCCGGCUAACUACGUG
RNAcentral lists this ribosomal RNA (497 nucleotides) under uncultured bacterium. Its description in RNAcentral is "partial 16S ribosomal RNA". It matches the Rfam family "Bacterial small subunit ribosomal RNA", at positions 28 to 507 of the family's 1533-position model. The record is from RNAcentral.